UACGGAGUUACAAAGGACGACAUUAGACGAAUCAUCUGGAAAGAUGAAUCAAAGAAGGUAAUAAUCCUGUAGUCGAAAAUGUUGUCUCUCUUGAGUGGAUCCUGAGUACGACGGAGCACGUGAAAUUCCGUCGGAAUCUGGGAGGACCAUCUCCUAAGGCUAAAUACUCUCUAGUGACCGAUAGUGAACCAGUACCGUGAGGGAAAGGUGAAAAGCACCCCGGAAGGGGAGUGAAAUAGAACCUGAAACCGUGUGCUUACAAGUAGUCAGAGCCCGUUAAUGGGUGAUGGCGUGCCUUUUGUAGAAUGAACCGGCGAGUUACGAUUUGAUGCAAGGUUAAGCAGUAAAUGUGGAGCCGUAGCGAAAGCGAGUCUGAAUAGGGCGUUUAGUAUUUGGUCGUAGACCCGAAACCAGGUGAUCUACCCUUGGUCAGGUUGAAGUUCAGGUAACACUGAAUGGAGGACCGAACCGACUUACGUUGAAAAGUGAGCGGAUGAACUGAGGGUAGCGGAGAAAUUCCAAUCGAACCUGGAGAUAGCUGGUUCUCUCCGAAAUAGCUUUAGGGCUAGCCUCAAGUGAUGAUUAUUGGAGGUAGAGCACUGUUUGGACGAGGGGCCCCUCUCGGGUUACCGAAUUCAGACAAACUCCGAAUGCCAAUUAAUUUAACUUGGGAGUCAGAACAUGGGUGAUAAGGUCCGUGUUCGAAAGGGAAACAGCCCAGACCACCAGCUAAGGUCCCAAAAUAUAUGUUAAGUGGAAAAGGAUGUGGCGUUGCCCAGACAACUAGGAUGUUGGCUUAGAAGCAGCCAUCAUUUAAAGAGUGCGUAAUAGCUCACUAGUCGAGUGACACUGCGCCGAAAAUGUACCGGGGCUAAACAUAUUACCGAAGCUGUGGAUUGUCCUUUGGACAAUGGUAGGAGAGCGUUCUAAGGGCGUUGAAGCAUGAUCGUAAGGACAUGUGGAGCGCUUAGAAGUGAGAAUGCCGGUGUGAGUAGCGAAAGACGGGUGAGAAUCCCGUCCACCGAUUGACUAAGGUUUCCAGAGGAAGGCUCGUCCGCUCUGGGUUAGUCGGGUCCUAAGCUGAGGCCGACAGGCGUAGGCGAUGGAUAACAGGUUGAUAUUCCUGUACCACCUAUAAUCGUUUUAAUCGAUGGGGGGACGCAGUAGGAUAGGCGAAGCGUGCGAUUGGAUUGCACGUCUAAGCAGUAAGGCUGAGUAUUAGGCAAAUCCGGUACUCGUUAAGGCUGAGCUGUGAUGGGGAGAAGACAUUGUGUCUUCGAGUCGUUGAUUUCACACUGCCGAGAAAAGCCUCUAGAUAGAAAAUAGGUGCCCGUACCGCAAACCGACACAGGUAGUCAAGAUGAGAAUUCUAAGGUGAGCGAGCGAACUCUCGUUAAGGAACUCGGCAAAAUGACCCCGUAACUUCGGGAGAAGGGGUGCUCUUUAGGGUUAACGCCCAGAAGAGCCGCAGUGAAUAGGCCCAAGCGACUGUUUAUCAAAAACACAGGUCUCUGCUAAACCGUAAGGUGAUGUAUAGGGGCUGACGCCUGCCCGGUGCUGGAAGGUUAAGAGGAGUGGUUAGCUUCUGCGAAGCUACGAAUCGAAGCCCCAGUAAACGGCGGCCGUAACUAUAACGGUCCUAAGGUAGCGAAAUUCCUUGUCGGGUAAGUUCCGACCCGCACGAAAGGCGUAACGAUUUGGGCACUGUCUCAACGAGAGACUCGGUGAAAUCAUAGUACCUGUGAAGAUGCAGGUUACCCGCGACAGGACGGAAAGACCCCGUGGAGCUUUACUGUAGCCUGAUAUUGAAAUUCGGCACAGCUUGUACAGGAUAGGUAGGAGCCUUUGAAACGUGAGCGCUAGCUUACGUGGAGGCGCUGGUGGGAUACUACCCUAGCUGUGUUGGCUUUCUAACCCGCACCACUUAUCGUGGUGGGAGACAGUGUCA
RNAcentral lists this ribosomal RNA (1948 nucleotides) under Staphylococcus aureus DAR3505. Its description in RNAcentral is "bacterial LSU rRNA". It matches the Rfam family "Bacterial large subunit ribosomal RNA", at positions 310 to 2259 of the family's 2925-position model. The record is from RNAcentral. Lineage: Bacteria; Bacillati; Bacillota; Bacilli; Caryophanales; Staphylococcaceae.